AAGCACCAACGGAAAGAGAGAAGCAGAGAAGCAACACGAGUGGCUGGCAAAACACACUUGUGCAGUGUGGCCUGUUGGAUUUGUUGUUUCUUCGUUUCUCUUCUUCUUGUUCUUUUUCUUUUUCGUCUUCUUCUUCUUCUCGUAA
Molecule: non-coding RNA, 145 nt
Filed under: Stygamoeba regulata
Lineage: Eukaryota; Discosea; Stygamoebida
Source: RNAcentral